Molecule: ribosomal RNA, 686 nt
Filed under: uncultured bacterium
Lineage: Bacteria
Description: bacterial SSU rRNA
Rfam family: Bacterial small subunit ribosomal RNA
Source: RNAcentral
CUGCCGUAUACUGGGGGAUAACAUUUAGAAAUAGGUGCUAAUACCGCAUAAGCGCACAGCUUCGCAUGAAGUGGUGUGAAAAACUCUGGUGGUAUACGAUGGUUCCGCGUCUGAUUAGCUUGUUGGUGGGGUAAUGGCUCACCAAGGCGACGAUCAGUAGCCGGCCUGAGAGGGUGAACGGCCACAUUGGGACUGAGACACGGCCCAAACUCCUACGGGAGGCAGCAGUGGGGAAUAUUGCACAAUGGGGGAAACCCUGAUGCAGCGACGCCGCGUGAGUGAAGAAGUAUUUCGGUAUGUAAAGCUCUAUCAGCAGGGAAGAAAUAGCGACCUUUGGGUCGCCAGACGGUACCUGAUUAAGAAGCCCCGGCUAACUACGUGCCAGCAGCCGCGGUAAUACGUAGGGGGCAAGCGUUAUCCGGAUUUACUGGGUGUAAAGGGAGCGUAGACGGCAGCACAAGUCUGAAGUGAAAUGCCGGGGCUUAACCCCGGAACUGCUUUGGAAACUGUGCAGCUAGAGUGCAGGAGAGGUAAGUGGAAUUCCUAGUGUAGCGGUGAAAUGCGUAGAUAUUAGGAGGAACACCAGUGGCGAAGGCGGCUUACUGGACUGUAACUGACGUUGAGGCUCGAAAGCGUGGGGAGCAAACAGGAUUAGAUACCCUGGUAGUCCACGCUGUAAACGAUGA